GCGCCUGUAGCUCAGUUGGAUAGAGCAUCUGCCUUCUAAGCAGGGAGUCGGGAGUUCGAGUCUCUCCAGGCGCGCCA
This 77-nucleotide transfer RNA is filed under the name Peptococcaceae bacterium. RNAcentral describes it as "tRNA-Arg". It matches the Rfam family "tRNA". From Rfam's summary of the family: Transfer RNA (tRNA) molecules are approximately 80 nucleotides in length. Their secondary structure includes four short double-helical elements and three loops (D, anti-codon, and T loops). Lineage: Bacteria; Bacillati; Bacillota; Clostridia; Eubacteriales; Peptococcaceae. The record is from RNAcentral.